Molecule: long non-coding RNA, 502 nt
Organism: Trichoplusia ni (cabbage looper)
Lineage: Eukaryota; Metazoa; Arthropoda; Insecta; Lepidoptera; Noctuidae
Exons: 2
Source: RefSeq, a predicted model, not a curated record
CUCAUAUUCUUCUGCCAAUAAUAAAUGACAACUUACUGACAUUUAGAUCUAUGUCAAUACAAACUAUAUUCACACAUUCCGCAAUAAAAAUGCCUUUAAAAUGAUAGUAUAUAAAAAUAAUGUUUAAACAUGGGUCAAUUAGAUGAAUCAAGAUCUGCCUCGAAAAUGGCCAAAAGUAACUCGGCCGUCAAAAAGUCUUCUUCAUCGAAGGGAAAAAAAGGACAAUCGUCAGACUUAAGUUUUUCCGACCCUAAAGUCCAAGGUGUGCUACUGGUUGGACUCCUGGCAGUAUUGGCGCUGGCCCUAUGGUUUGGCUUUACGCGGGGUUGUUUACGUCGACGCCGUAGAAGACGCUCGUCAUGUUGCUAAAUCAUAGUUCUUGCAGUAGCAACCAAGAAGAAAACUGAAAAAAAAGAGAAAUUUGAUUUACACUACAACCACUUCCACCAUCUACAAUACAAUAUGCAACCAAGACAUAGAUAAAAUAUAAUAAUGAAAAUUA